UUCGUCUCUUUCUUCCCACGACGCCUCCCCAUCCUCCAUCAGCCGUCAUUGGGCGCCGUUGUUCUGGACCGGUCGAAUGUCGCUGCCAAGGAGCAGAGGAGGAUGGCGGUGGGGAGAAACAGCAGAGGGGCACCGUCGUUCUGCUCACUCAGGGCGUGGGUCAGAGACGGACGAGGAGGCCGAGCAGUCCGGCAUGCCGUCGCCUGCCAAGACGGAUGGGGCAGGCGAAGAAGAGUGGUGGAUCUGCAUCCUCGCUGCGGAAGGCUGCCGCUGUGCCGACUCCAACCUGUAGCCUGUUCCGGCUCAGGUUCGUCUUCGUUUUCCUUGGAAACAUAAAAUGGUGGAGUGCAUGAUGCUUCACCAGAGUCUGCAUUAUCGUCAAACGCCUUCCAUGAGGUUAUAUGAUGUGUACAUGGCAGUGUUACUGAACAGAAGGAGAACAUGAUGAUGCUCUCUUAAUUUAGUUUCUCCUCCGCUGACCAAAGCAUAUAGGAAACACCAGCAACCCUUCUGUUCUGAGGAAGCGCUCAACCUUGACGUUGAUGCGGAGCAUCCCAAGGUCAUCCCCAUGGACCUAACAUCGUCUCACCAAGUGCCUAGCGGACCGAUGACUAGAGCUAGAGCUAGAGCUCUCGAGACCGAGGUGACCUCUCUCCUUAGUGACAUUACAUAUGAUCCUCUCGAGACAUGGCUACUACCUAAGUCCGAGACAUUGUGCAUGAUUAGGUACCAAGAAGACCCUCCUGAAGAUGCACGUGAAGACGGACAAGCCGCCAAGUCCACGGAUGAAGAGGAACGCUGGAAGGAGAAGAAGACACCUCCAGGACCCGGACAUCCGGCCCCCAAGCCCUGACGUCCGGCCGCUGAAGACUACAGCUACCACAGCCUUCCGGCCGCUGAGCCCCUACAGGCCUCGGACUUCCGGCCCCGUCAUCCCGGACGUCCGGCCCCUCCCGAGCUCCCGGACAUCCGGCCCCCCAUCCCAGAAAUCCGAACCCUCCCGAGCUCCCGGACAACCGGCCCCCCAUCCCGGAAAUCCGGACCCUUCCGAACCCGAGAGCAACAAGACAGCAAUGCCAGCCCGGACAUCCGGCCUUCCUAGCCUGGACAUCCGGCCCGACGCCCGG
Long non-coding RNA from Triticum aestivum (bread wheat), 1127 nucleotides. RefSeq lists it as uncharacterized. Lineage: Eukaryota; Viridiplantae; Streptophyta; Magnoliopsida; Poales; Poaceae. The transcript has 6 exons. The record is from RefSeq and is a predicted model, not a curated record.